CCCACCGUUGAAACGGUGGGCUAGUGUCAGUCGUCCUUCCAGGACG
This is a small RNA of 46 nucleotides. It matches the Rfam family "Acido-Lenti-1 RNA". The record is from Rfam.